This 447-nucleotide ribosomal RNA is filed under the name uncultured bacterium. Its description in RNAcentral is "partial 16S ribosomal RNA". It matches the Rfam family "Bacterial small subunit ribosomal RNA", at positions 29 to 523 of the family's 1533-position model. The record is from RNAcentral.
AACGAACGCUGGCGGCAGGCUUAACACAUGCAAGUCGAACGCAUCGCAAGAUGAGUGGCAGACGGGUGAGUAACGCGUGGGAACAUACCCUUUUCUACGGAAUAGCUCUGGGAAACUGGAAUUAAUACCGUAUACGCCCUACGGGGGAAAGAUUUAUCGGGGAAGGAUUGGCCCGCGUUGGAUUAGCUAGUUGGUGGGGUAAAGGCCUACCAAGGCGACGAUCCAUAGCUGGUCUGAGAGGAUGAUCAGCCACAUUGGGACUGAGACACGGCCCCAACUCCUACGGGAGGCAGCAGUGGGGAAUAUUGGACAAUGGGUGCAAGCCUGAUCCAGCCAUGCCGCGUGAGUGAUGAAGGCCUUAGGGUUGUAAAGCCCUUUCACCGAUGAAGAUAAUGACGGUAGUCGGAGAAGAAGCCCCGGCUAACUUCGUGCCAGCCGCCGCCGUAA